RNAcentral lists this non-coding RNA (21 nucleotides) under Caenorhabditis elegans. Lineage: Eukaryota; Metazoa; Nematoda; Chromadorea; Rhabditida; Rhabditidae. The record is from RNAcentral.
UACAAUUAUUACAAGACGCGU